AGAUUUUAGCAGCGGUUCAUUUAGCGGCGGUUGGGGAAGCCGCCGCAGAUUGAUUAAAAUUUAUUAAAAUUAGAAGGGGUCACGUGAACCCUAACUCAUUUGCUUCGUUCGGGUUUCAAUUGCUUCGUUCCAGUUUCAUUCAUAUUUUCCUCUGAAACCCAUCUUCUAUUUCGCGAACCCUAAUCUCAUUCUCACUCAGCCAGCCAUGGAUUGAAACCUCCUUCUCAUCUCGCGAUUUGCCUUUUCUUCUCCACGAGAUUUGGAUCGAAGAACGAAGGUGCGUCUUCCCCCGCUCAGUCAUGGACAACAAACAUUGAUCUCGUUCAGCAUGUCUGUGUCUAAUAUCAUUGUAUUCUAGCUUGGACUUGAACAACUUUGAGAGUGAUCCUGAAGAGUUUGCUAGAAUCUUCUGCAAAGACAUGGGUAUUGCGGAUCCUGAGGUUGGGAUUUCUAUUCAAAGUGUGGUUUCUGCAAGAGAAAGAAGAUUAAGCAAGAAGGGUCGUCGAGGGGGUGACUAUACUCCAAUCAGUAAAUGAGGUGCUGUGGCAGUGGACUUGGUCAAGUUAUUUGGUCAGAAAUCUAUGUAGCUUUGAUACUUUCCUGGUAGAUCUAUUUUUAAGCCUGAUCUUAUAUGAUAACCAGUUUCAUUGUUACUUGCUUUAAUUUAUUGUUUUACAUGAUUGGUAGCAUGUUUUGGCUUGAUGUUGGAUAAUUGCUUUUAAAAGUCAGAGGCAGAAGAUUGGAAUAGCUUUGAGAGUAGUAAGCUUCUCCGAUUGCUGCUACCAGUGAGAGGUGUUCAGUAUUCCUCAUUUUUCAAUGAUAUAUGUGGAUUCUGGAUUAAGCCAAAUCAUCAUCUUUCAAUGCAGUGGAAACUGAAAAGGAAAGCGAUUGAAGUAAUGUUUACUAUGAUUUAUCUUAACUGGGAUAUAACAUAACUAGCACUAAGGCUUGUAAUUUCAUAUCUUUAUCUCGAUAGCAUGUAUAGAGCAACUUACCUAGUGUGGUUAUAGUCUCUCUUCCUUUUAUCUUGAUAAAAUAACCAACUCCAUUGUUUUGACUCUUCUAUUUAUCAUAAUCUAAUUUGUUGAAAUAUCCUAUUGUGCUUUGAAACUUUGUAUAUCUGAAUGAAUAUUUCCAAAUGUU
Molecule: long non-coding RNA, 1143 nt
Organism: Lotus japonicus
Lineage: Eukaryota; Viridiplantae; Streptophyta; Magnoliopsida; Fabales; Fabaceae
Exons: 4
Source: RefSeq, a predicted model, not a curated record